Molecule: transfer RNA, 73 nt
Filed under: Elusimicrobia bacterium RIFCSPHIGHO2_02_FULL_57_9
Lineage: Bacteria; Pseudomonadati; Elusimicrobiota
Description: tRNA-Pro
Rfam family: tRNA
About the family: Transfer RNA (tRNA) molecules are approximately 80 nucleotides in length. Their secondary structure includes four short double-helical elements and three loops (D, anti-codon, and T loops).
Source: RNAcentral
CGGGGUAUAGCUCAAUUGGUAGAGCGCUUGGUUUGGGACCAAGAGGUUUUCGGUUCAAGCCCGAAUACCCCGA